RNAcentral lists this ribosomal RNA (892 nucleotides) under uncultured bacterium. Its description in RNAcentral is "bacterial SSU rRNA". It matches the Rfam family "Bacterial small subunit ribosomal RNA", at positions 23 to 905 of the family's 1533-position model. The record is from RNAcentral.
CUCGGGAUGAACGCUAGCUACAGGCUUAACACAUGCAAGUCGAGGGGAAACGAUAGAGAAAGCUUGCUUUUUCUAGGCGUCGACCGGCGCACGGGUGAGUAACGCGUAUCCAACCUGCCCAUCACUUGGGGAUAACCUUGCGAAAGUAAGACUAAUACCCAAUGACGUCUCUAGAAGACAUCUGAAGGAGAUUAAAGAUUUAUCGGUGAUGGAUGGGGAUGCGUCUGAUUAGCUUGUUGGCGGGGUAACGGCCCACCAAGGCGACGAUCAGUAGGGGUUCUGAGAGGAAGGUCCCCCACAUUGGAACUGAGACACGGUCCAAACUCCUACGGGAGGCAGCAGUGAGGAAUAUUGGUCAAUGGGCGAGAGCCUGAACCAGCCAAGUAGCGUGCAGGAUGACGGCCCUAUGGGUUGUAAACUGCUUUUAUAAGGGAAUAAAGUGAGAGUCGUGACUCUUUUUGCAUGUACCUUAUGAAUAAGGACCGGCUAAUUCCGUGCCAGCAGCCGCGGUAAUACGGAAGGUCCGGGCGUUAUCCGGAUUUAUUGGGUUUAAAGGGAGCGUAGGCCGGAGAUUAAGCGUGUUGUGAAAUGUAGACGCUCAACGUCUGCACUGCAGCGCGAACUGGUUUCCUUGAGUACGCACAAAGUGGGCGGAAUUCGUGGUGUAGCGGUGAAAUGCUUAGAUAUCACGAAGAACUCCGAUUGCGAAGGCAGCUCACUGGAGCGCAACUGACGCUGAAGCUCGAAAGUGCGGGUAUCGAACAGGAUUAGAUACCCUGGUAGUCCGCACGGUAAACGAUGGAUGCCCGCUGUUGGUCUGAAUAGGUCUGCGGCCAAGCGAAAGCAUUAAGCAUCCCACCUGGGGAGUACGCCGGCAACGGUGAAACUCAAA